CCUUGGAGGUGGUUGUAACUGUUUCAAAACUGUGCCAUCUGGAUGUUGCAGUAUACCCACUUUGUCCUUCCCGUACAUGUGCCCGGCCACCUGAUGCGAGAGGGGCACGCAGCCGUUGAGGAAGCGGAGUCUGCCGCCCGCCGGCUGCGGGGUGCCCUCAGGGGUGGACUCGAUCGCCGGUGAGGUCCGCAUUUCUGGGGGGCCCGGCGCCUCGACCCGGAGGGGGGAUGGUGGCUCUGUUGCCAUAACGGAGAGCAGAAGCGGUAACGGCAGCGAGAGUAGGAAAAAAAAUAGGGCGAGG
Molecule: long non-coding RNA, 301 nt
Filed under: Homo sapiens (human)
Lineage: Eukaryota; Metazoa; Chordata; Mammalia; Primates; Hominidae
Description: LNC_000449
Source: RNAcentral